GGAUGUGGGGGUGAUCUGGCUGUGACAUCUGUCACCCCAUUGAUUGCCAGUGUUGAUUUGGCUGAUCUGGCUGGCUAGGCGGGUGUCCCCUUUCUCCCUCACCACUCCAUGUGCAUCACUCCUGAAGCUGUGUGCUCGGUUGAAGAGGAUGACCUUCCCCGAUAGAGGAGGACCGUUCUUUGGUCAUGGGUAUACAAGUAGCUGUGCUCCCCUGCUAGAACCUCCAAACAAGCUCUCAAGGUCCAUGAACCGUAAGAAUAAUGACCUGAGUGGAAAUCCAGAGUUGGAUGCUUAACCAGAUGAGCCACCCAGGAGCCCCUUGU
Panthera pardus (leopard) is the source of this 323-nucleotide unclassified non-coding RNA. Its record names the gene 7SK. It matches the Rfam family "7SK RNA". Rfam says of the family: 7SK was discovered as an abundant small nuclear RNA in the mid-70s but a possible function has only recently been suggested. Two independent studies have found that 7SK RNA binds the CDK9/cyclin T complex (known as elongation factor P-TEFb). Lineage: Eukaryota; Metazoa; Chordata; Mammalia; Carnivora; Felidae. The record is from Ensembl.